RNA transcript from Zingiber officinale, 559 nucleotides. It is a transcript of the gene named nuclear poly(A) polymerase 4-like, with no coding region annotated. The transcript is spliced from 5 exons. The record is from RefSeq and is a predicted model, not a curated record. Lineage: Eukaryota; Viridiplantae; Streptophyta; Magnoliopsida; Zingiberales; Zingiberaceae.
GGGAGUAUCGCUUUCAUCAUGUCCAUAGGUAGUUCUUCUGAAAUGGGCAGUGCACCUCCACCUACCUCAACACAGUAUGGCAUAACCAAACCAAUCUCGACUGCUGGACCUACUGAGGUUGAUCUCAAGAGGACUGCUGAACUUGAAAGAGUAUGCUUGUUCUCUUGGUUGAUGCUGGACUGUAUGCGAGCAAGGAAGAAUCUACCAAGAGAGAGGAAGUAUUACAAGAACUUGAUAAUAUUGUCAAAAACUGGGUGAAACAAUUAACACGCCAAAGGGGGUUUUCUGAUCAAAUGGUUGAAAAAGCAAAUGAUGUCAUCUUCACAUUUGGAUUUUACAGAUUGGGGUGGCAGGUUCAUGGACCUGGGGCUGAUGUUGACACUUUGUGUUGGACCUUCCUAUGUUAACCAAGAGGAGGAUUUCUUUAUUAUUCUCCAUGAUCUAUUGGCUGAAAUGGAGGAAGUCUCCGAACUACAUCCAGUUCCUGAUGCUCAUGUUCCAGUUCUUAAAUUUAAGUUCCUGGGAAUAUCCAUCGAUUUACUCUAUGCCAAUAUAUCAC